UUUAAAUUUAGAGUUUGAUCCUGGCUCAGGACGAACGCUGGCGGCGUGCUUAACACAUGCAAGUCGAGCGAUGAAGCUUCCUUCGGGAAGUGAAUUAGCGGCGGACGGGUGAGUAACACGUGGGUAACCUGCCUCAAAGUGGGGGAUAGCCUUCCGAAAGGAAGAUUAAUACCGCAUAAUAUAGGAGAAUCGCAUGAUUUUCUUAUCAAAGAUUUAUUGC
This 220-nucleotide ribosomal RNA is filed under the name Clostridium botulinum. Its description in RNAcentral is "partial 16S ribosomal RNA". It matches the Rfam family "Bacterial small subunit ribosomal RNA", at positions 1 to 218 of the family's 1533-position model. Lineage: Bacteria; Bacillati; Bacillota; Clostridia; Eubacteriales; Clostridiaceae. The record is from RNAcentral.